GGCAGUUGGAGGUGCUGCUGUGUGGGGACUAGUAAUGGCUUAGUGAAUCUAUUGGAUUAAGGGAGGGAUUUUGAAUGGCAUUAAGCUGUGGGGCUGCAGACAAGUCAACCAGCCGCCAGGACACUGGAUGCUCUCUGUGUUUGGGAUCCCACACACACACACACACAUACACACAUACACAAUAACGCACAUACCUGCUCAUGUACACACACUCACACACACCGCCGUGCUCCCCUGUGAGAGCCUGGAGGUAGACAGGGAGAGACAGGUGACUCCAGAAUGAACCUCUUCUGCUUCACUCUGGACGGCUCUACAGACAGUCUGUAUGAGUUGCCCCAGAGGAGUCCUGCUGGUCCGGAGUUGAGUCCAGUGCCCAGGAGGAGACCCUGCAGCCCCAGGUGUCUAGUGGACAGCGGCAAGUGGGGCGGAUCAGAACCGUGCAUAGCCUUGAAUCGUCCACAAACACCCAGAGCGCAGCUCACCAAGGCCGACUCAAAGAAAGCAAAGAGAAAAUGCCAAAAUCUCCUGCAGCACCACCCCGUCCAGCUCCUAUCACAGCUAUCAGUGGCAACGUCUGACGAUGAAAACACAGUGUCCAGUAAUGCUUACUGGCCGUGCUCCAGAAAGACAGAUGAGUCAGUUCACAGCAAGAACCAUCAAAGUGAAGGUGUGGCUGAAGAUGCCUACAUCACAAAGUCUUUGGGUCAAGAAGAGGAAAUGGAGAUGAAGCCAGAAACAAGAGACAGAGAGCACCCUCUUCAGGGCGUCAAUUUCGAGGCCUGGAAUCCGAACAGAGAGAUCUGCGAGAGCAAACAGCACGAAACAGGUGGCGAGGGUGAGAGCGAGCUGGAGACAGAGGGAACUCUGAAGAAGAUCCAGAAGCUGGUCCGGGUAAAAAAGAACAGCAAGGACUGCUCAGAGGAGAGCAGGAAAACACCAGACUCAAGUGGCCGCUCAACACAGACACAUUCUAAAGAAGGUAGCCCGGUCAUCACCUGCAUAGGACUGUCCAAAAGGCCUGAGAAGAAGCAUGGGAAAGAGCUCCUCCAGCAGCAGCAUCAGCAGCCCGAGCCAGCAAAAGAAAUGGACAUAAUGGAGUUGGAGGGUCCCUGGAGCCCGGGGCCUUUCCAGCACUGGACUAGUAUGGACUGUUCUCCAGCAUGGGAAUUAUCUCAUCAUACCUGCCAUAGACCUACAGCUGAUCAGCACUUUUAUUCCUUCGACUUCCAUCUGGCCUGCGGGGCUGAGUGGGACAGGUUUGAGGAGAUGUUCCACGGCCUGGACCACCUGAGGAGGGACCACUCACCUGACCUGGAAAUAACCGACCCCACACGUUCCUCCAGCUUUGGAAGGUUCGACACAUCUAAACACUCUCCCCAAACCAAGGCUGAAGAACAUGAAGGAACCCUGGUAAGAGUUCACCAAUAUAAACCCAGCCAGUCACUGAAUUAAUAGAGAUGAUAUGCUGUGACCUGAUUCUGUA
This 1483-nucleotide long non-coding RNA is filed under the name Astyanax mexicanus (Mexican tetra). RNAcentral's name for it is "lncRNA (ENSAMXG00005022858.1)". Lineage: Eukaryota; Metazoa; Chordata; Actinopteri; Characiformes; Acestrorhamphidae. The record is from RNAcentral.